GAUCCUGGCUCAGGACGAACGCUGGCGGCGUGCCUAACACAUGCAAGUCGAACGGAGAAUUUUUAUUUUCGGUAGAAUUCUUAGUGGCGAACGGGUGAGUAACGCGUAGGCAACCUGCCCUUUAGACGGGGACAACAUUCCGAAAGGAGUGCUAAUACCGGAUGUGAUCAUCGUGCCGCAUGGCAGGAUGAAGAAAGAUGGCCUCUACAAGUAAGCUAUCGCUAAAGGAUGGGCCUGCGU
Molecule: ribosomal RNA, 240 nt
Filed under: uncultured bacterium
Lineage: Bacteria
Description: partial 16S ribosomal RNA
Rfam family: Bacterial small subunit ribosomal RNA
Source: RNAcentral